RNAcentral lists this ribosomal RNA (868 nucleotides) under uncultured archaeon. Its description in RNAcentral is "bacterial SSU rRNA". It matches the Rfam family "Archaeal small subunit ribosomal RNA", at positions 27 to 900 of the family's 1478-position model. The record is from RNAcentral.
CCGCUAUUGGAGUUCGAUUAAGCCAUGCGAGUCGAGAGUCCUCGGGACUCGGCGUACCGCUCAGUAACACGUGGGUAACCUGCCCUAUGCUGGGGAAUAACCUCGGGAAACUGAGAAUAAUGCCCCAUAGCCCACUACGCCUGGAACGGUGAGUGGGUCAAAGCUCCGGCGGCAUAGGAUGGGCCUGCGCCGUAUCAGGUUGUAGGGGGUGUAAAGUACCCUCUAGCCAUCAACGCGUACGGGUGUUGGGAGACAUUGCCCGGAGAUGGAUUCUGAGACACGAAUCCAGACCCUACGGGGUGCAGCAGGCGCGAAAACUUGGCAAUGCGAGCAAUCGUGACCAGGGAACUCCAAGUGCGUAGGGUAAGACCUACGCUUUUCUUGACUCUUCAAAGGUCUUGGAAUAAGGGGUGGGUAAGGACGGUGCCAGCCGCCGCGGUAAUACCGGCGCCUCAAGUGGUAGUCGCUUUUAUUGGGCCUAAAACGUCCGUAGCCGGUCUGGUGCAUUCGUGGGUAAAUCAACCCGCUCAACGGGUUGAAUUCUGCGAGCACGGCCAGACUUGGGACCGGGAGAGGUGUGGGGUACUCUCAGGGUAGGGGUAAAAUCCUGUCAUCCUGAGAGGACCACCUGUUGCGAAGGCGCCACACUAGAACGGAUCCGACGGUCAGGGACGAAACCUAGGGGCACGAACCGGAUUAGAUACCCGGGUAGUCCUAGGUGUAUACGCUGUGGACUUGAUGUUGGGGGCGCUCCGAGCGCUCUCAGUGUCGAAGCGAAGGUGAUAAGUCCACUGCCUGGGGAGUACGGUCGCAAGGCUGAAACUUAAAGGAAUUGGCGGGGGAGCACUGCAACCUGAGGAUUGUGCGG